This is a long non-coding RNA of Dipodomys spectabilis (banner-tailed kangaroo rat), 702 nucleotides long. RefSeq lists it as uncharacterized. The record is from RefSeq and is a predicted model, not a curated record. NCBI's taxonomy places the organism in Eukaryota, Metazoa, Chordata, Mammalia, Rodentia, Heteromyidae. The transcript is spliced from 2 exons.
UGUUCUUAUGCCUGGUUCUUAUUAAAAUUUUAUUUGUUUAGUUAGAUUUUUUGGUGGCACUGAAAUUUGAACUCAGCUUUACACUUACUAGGCAGACACUCUAGCAUCAAGCCACACCACCAGCUCCAUUUCCUUGUUAGUUUUGAGAUAGGGUUUUGCUUCCUGUCAGGACACAUGACUGAACUCCACCUAGUUAUACUACCCACAAAGCUAGGAUGCGAGGAGUAUGCUACAUUAUCCAGGUAUUGUUCAAGAAGGGGGGGGGGUCCCAUAAACUUUUUUGCUUGGGCUGGCCUUGAACUUCAAUCCUCUCUCUCUCAACCUUCCAAGAUGCUGUAAUUACAGGUGUGAGUCACAGUGCCUGGCUUUAUACCCAAUUCUGUAGAAGCAACUCAGUAGGUGUAAUAGGAUUCCAUGUGACCUUGUGGUUACUGUGACAUAGACCCUUCAGGGGACGCAAUAACAUAGAAAAGUGCCACAGCACCCCAGCCCAUCACCCACCUCUUCUUAUCUUUCCCACACCACAAAAGCUAAGUGCCAGCAACUUCAUCUGAGGCAACGUGCAACAAAUGUUCCUGCUUCUUGUCCCCUCUACUUCCUGUCGGUCAGCUCCCUCCCCUCUUGAAAGCUUGUUACUCAAGGUACCAGAUAGCUCUCAGCAGUCACAUCUUGGCAUUUUACAACCAUGGUUGUCUGAUCUUG